This 891-nucleotide ribosomal RNA is filed under the name Rufibacter tibetensis. RNAcentral's name for it is "bacterial SSU rRNA". It matches the Rfam family "Bacterial small subunit ribosomal RNA", at positions 56 to 958 of the family's 1533-position model. The record is from RNAcentral. Lineage: Bacteria; Pseudomonadati; Bacteroidota; Cytophagia; Cytophagales; Hymenobacteraceae.
UGCAAGUCGAACGGCGUCCCUCGGGGCGCAGUGGCGCACGGGUGCGUAACGCGUAUGCAACCUACCUUGAACUGGGGGAUAGCCCGGAGAAAUCCGGAUUAAUACCGCAUAACACCAUGUGAGGGCAUCUGAGUAUGGUUAAAGAUUCAUUGGUUCAAGAUGGGCAUGCGUGCCAUUAGCUAGUUGGUGGUGUAACGGACCACCAAGGCUACGAUGGCUAGGGGUUCUGAGAGGACGGUCCCCCACACUGGCACUGAGAUACGGGCCAGACUCCUACGGGAGGCAGCAGUAGGGAAUAUUGGGCAAUGGGCGGAAGCCUGACCCAGCCAUGCCGCGUGCAGGAUGAAGGCCUUCUGGGUUGUAAACUGCUUUUAUCAGGGAAGAAAACACCCAUGCGUGGGGAACUGACGGUACCUGAGGAAUAAGCACCGGCUAACUCCGUGCCAGCAGCCGCGGUAAUACGGAGGGUGCAAGCGUUGUCCGGAUUUAUUGGGUUUAAAGGGUGCGUAGGCGGCCCAUUAAGUCAGUGGUGAAAGCCCGGGGCUCAACCCCGGAACCGCCAUUGAUACUGGUGGGCUUGAGUAUGGACGAGGUUGGCGGAAUUGAGGGUGUAGCGGUGAAAUGCUUAGAUACCCUCAAGAACACCGAUUGCGUAGGCAGCUAACUAGGCCAUAACUGACGCUGAGGCACGAAAGCGUGGGGAGCGAACAGGAUUAGAUACCCUGGUAGUCCACGCCGUAAACGAUGAUUACUCGAUGUCGGCGACAGACUGUCGGCGUCUUAGCGAAAGCGUUAAGUAAUCCACCUGGGGAGUACGCCCGCAAGGGUGAAACUCAAAGGAAUUGACGGGGGCCCGCACAAGCGGUGGAGCAUGUGGUUUAAUUCGAUGAU